GAAUCUUCGGCAAUGGGCGAAAGCCUGACCGAGCAACGCCGCGUGAGCGAUGAAGGCCUUCGGGUCGUAAAGCUCUGUUGUUAGAGAAGAACAAGUACGAGAGUAACUGCUCGUACCUUGACGGUACCUAACCAGAAAGCCACGGCUAACUACGUGCCAGCAGCCGCGGUAAUACGUAGGUGGCAAGCGUUAUCCGGAAUUAUUGGGCGUAAAGCGCGCGCAGGCGGUCUCUUAAGUCUGAUGUGAAAGCCCACGGCUCAACCGUGGAGGGUCAUUGGAAACGGGGAGACUUGAGUGCAGGAGAGAAAAGUGGAAUUCCACGUGUAGCGGUGAAAUGCGUAGAGAUGUGGAGGAACACCAGUGGCGAAGGCGGCUUUUUGGCCUGUAACUGACGCUGAGGCGCGAAAGCGUGGGGAGCAAACAG
RNAcentral lists this ribosomal RNA (424 nucleotides) under uncultured bacterium. RNAcentral's name for it is "bacterial SSU rRNA". It matches the Rfam family "Bacterial small subunit ribosomal RNA", at positions 359 to 775 of the family's 1533-position model. The record is from RNAcentral.